UGCCCUGCUUCCAGGAAAAGCCUCUAAGCAUCAGGUAACAUCAAAUCGUACCCCAAACCGACACAGGUGGUCAGGUAGAGAAUACCAAGGCGCUUGAGAGAACUCGGGUGAAGGAACUAGGCAAAAUGGUGCCGUAACUUCGGGAGAAGGCACGCUGACACGUAGGUGAAGUGAUUUACUCAUGGAGCUGAAGUCAGUCGAAGAUACCAGCUGGCUGCAACUGUUUAUUAAAAACACAGCACUGUGCAAACACGAAAGUGGACGUAUACGGUGUGACGCCUGCCCGGUGCCGGAAGGUUAAUUGAUGGGGUCAGCGCAAGCGAAGCUCCUGAUCGAAGCCCCGGUAAACGGCGGCCGUAACUAUAACGGUCCUAAGGUAGCGAAAUUCCUUGUCGGGUAAGUUCCGACCUGCACGAAUGGCGUAAUGAUGGCCAGGCUGUCUCCACCCGAGACUCAGUGAAAUUGAACUCGCUGUGAAGAUGCAGUGUACCCGCGGCAAGACGGAAAGACCCCGUGAACCUUUACUAUAGCUUGACACUGAACAUUGAGCCUUGAUGUGUAGGAUAGGUGGGAGGCUUUGAAGUGUGGACGCCAGUCUGCAUGGAGCCGACCUUGAAAUACCACCCUUUAAUGUUUGAUGUUCUAACGUGGACCCGUGAUCCGGGUUGCGGACAGUGUCUGGUGGGUAGUUUGACUGGGGCGGUCUCCUCCUAAAGAGUAACGGAGGAGCACGAAGGUUGGCUAAUCCUGGUCGGACAUCAGGAGGUUAGUGCAAUGGCAUAAGCCAGCUUGACUGCGAGCGUGACGGCGCGAGCAGGUGCGAAAGCAGGUCAUAGUGAUCCGGUGGUUCUGAAUGGAAGGGCCAUCGCUCAACGGAUAAAAGGUACUCCGGGGAUAACAGGCUGAUACCGCCCAAGAGUUCAUAUCGACGGCGGUGUUUGGCACCUCGAUGUCGGCUCAUCACAUCCUGGGGCUGAAGUAGGUCCCAAGGGUAUGGCUGUUCGCCAUUUAAAGUGGUACGCGAGCUGGGUUUAGAACGUCGUGAGACAGUUCGGUCCCUAUCUGCCGUGGGCGCUGGAGAACUGAGGGGGGCUGCUCCUAGUACGAGAGGACCGGAGUGGACGCAUCACUGGUGUUCGGGUUGUCAUGCCAAUGGCACUGCCCGGUAGCUAAAUGCGGAAGAGAUAAGUGCUGAAAGCAUCUAAGCACGAAACUUGCCCCGAGAUGAGUUCUCCCUGAGACUUUAGGUCUCCUGAAGGAACGUUGAAGACGACGACGUUGAUAGGCCGGGUGUGUAAGCGCAGCGAUGCGUUGAGCUAACCGGUACUAAUGAACCGUGAGGCUUAACCUU
This 1351-nucleotide ribosomal RNA is filed under the name Salmonella enterica. Its description in RNAcentral is "partial 23S ribosomal RNA". It matches the Rfam family "Bacterial large subunit ribosomal RNA", at positions 1598 to 2925 of the family's 2925-position model. The record is from RNAcentral. RNAcentral also lists the same sequence under 1 other name. Lineage: Bacteria; Pseudomonadati; Pseudomonadota; Gammaproteobacteria; Enterobacterales; Enterobacteriaceae.